GGCUUAGGAACCAAGUCCUCCUGAUAUGAAAUGGUUAAGGAAUGAGCUACACUAACCCAGUAAAGACAUCACACUAUAUCACUAUCCCGGACGUAAAGGUUGGUAGAAAACCAAAAACAACCAAUGGAGCACAAGUUUCAAGUAAAUUUACUUAUCAAUAAUCAAACCAUUUACCGUCCACUUACCUCAGUGGGAUUUAUAAAAAUGACCCAUGGAAACGAUAACAUCAUCGAUAUCAUAAAUUCAUGCAUAAUCUGUAACAUAGUACAUGUCAUACUUUUAUAUUUCAAUCAUCAAACAAUAGUUGCCCCCUUUUUAUCAGCCUACUAGUAUCCGUGGGGAUCCAUAGGGGUCCCCGCUACCCGUGAACCAUUCCCUUGACAAACUAAAUUUCCAAGGCCGUCCCCAUACCCCGUUCGGUAUGGGUGCCAAACAAUAAACCUCAAUACCCCGUCUGGUAUGAGGGUGAAGCGGACCGUCCCCAUACCCCGUUCGGUAUAAGCGCCAAAAUAUUUAAAGUCUCUAUACCCCAUCCGGUAUCGGACAACAUUCUCGGUAGGGUUCCCUAUGGACCCAGUCCGUCCACCAUCUCCCAAGAUAUCUAGCGAGACUGUCAACUUAUCCAUUUAUCAAUUCACAUACCUUUUCUAUUUUUUUCUUAGUUUUCCGUUUCUCACAUAAAGAUGAAUACUUAAAUAAGUAACGAGCAUCCAACAAGGCAAGCAUAUCAUCAGAUUCACAAAAUCAAGCCAUAAUGAAGUAAACAGUGAUUCAUGCAUUCAAAACCAUAAAAUAAAUAAAUCAGAUACCAUACUGCAUUUAGACUGUAAAAUAAAUC
This 838-nucleotide long non-coding RNA is filed under the name Carica papaya (papaya). RNAcentral describes it as "long non-coding RNA (CPAP_LNC003917)". Lineage: Eukaryota; Viridiplantae; Streptophyta; Magnoliopsida; Brassicales; Caricaceae. The record is from RNAcentral.